AAUUUUGUCAUGGGAAUCUCUUCAGCUAGUCUAGCCCUAGGUCUGUUAAACCCUUCAUCUAGUCUAGCCCUAGGUCUGUUAAACCCUUCAUCUAGUCUAGCCCAAGGUCUGUUAAACCCUUCAUCUAGUCUAGCCCAAGGUCUGUUAAACCCUUCGUCUAGUCUAGCCCUAGGUCUGUUAAACCCUUCGUCUAGUCUAGCCCUAGGUCUGUUAAACCGUUCAUCUAGUCCUUACAGAUGCCCUCUGUUUGCAAUCAGAAGUUCAGAACUAAUCCUCUCCUCUGGAUGGCGCUGUGUAAAUUGGACACUGAUUAAUGUGUCCAGUCUGUGUAGCUAUGGGCCGGUAGACCACCACGACCACAGAUCUCCAUCCACCAGACCACAUGGUCACUUUGACAGCACCAUAAACAUACUGUAUGGGUCCAAUAGAUGGACUCAGAGAGUGUAUGGGUCUGGAGGUAAACCCUGUCAAUAGAUGGACUCAGAGAGUGUAUGGGUCUGGAGGUAAACCCUGUCAAUAGAUGGACUCAGAGAGUGUAUGGGUCUGGAGGUAAACCCUGUCAAUAGAUGGACUCAGAGAGUGUAUGGGUCUGGAGGUAAACCCUGUCAAUAGAUGGACUCAGGGAGUGUAUGGGUCUGGAGUUAAACCCUGUCAAUAGAUGGACUCAGGGAGUGUAUGGGUCUGGAGGUAAACCCUGUCAAUAGAUGGACUCAGGGAGUGAGUACUCUCUCUACAGAGUGAGGAUAUGUACAGGGCCUCUUCUAUAACUGUGUGAUUGUCAGUGAGGAUUAUGAUGUCUUAUUAUUAUUAUAAAUUGGACAUCCCCUGACCCCACUCACCUGGGUCGUGUUCAUUAGGCACCAAACGCACUGAAAAAGGAAGGGACUAUCUGGAUUUGUCCAAUGCUCAGAAACGCUACUUUUCCAUUGCAAAACGCUUUUUAAAUGUUUUCUGUAGCAUGUCCUAAUGAACACAACCCUGUUCAGGACAGGAAGGACCAUCCUCCCUUCUGCCCCUCCAUCCACACCCCUCCACAGCCCAGGCCAGCCCAGGGAGAAAGCUGAGUUACAGAGCAGCCAUCGCAAGAAACAUGAAACAAAGCAACUUCAACAUCAGAAAAUGUCUCGUCUGAACAU
Coregonus clupeaformis (lake whitefish) is the source of this 1136-nucleotide long non-coding RNA. RefSeq lists it as uncharacterized. The record is from RefSeq and is a predicted model, not a curated record. Lineage: Eukaryota; Metazoa; Chordata; Actinopteri; Salmoniformes; Salmonidae. The transcript is spliced from 2 exons.